Regulatory RNA element from Eubacterium infirmum F0142, 146 nucleotides. NCBI's taxonomy places the organism in Bacteria, Bacillati, Bacillota, Clostridia, Peptostreptococcales, Anaerovoracaceae. The record is from Rfam.
UGAAUUAUGCUAAAUCUAUGUAAGCAAGCGCAUUUAUAAAGCGUAUGCUGAGGGGAAACAGGUGAGUAUUCCUGUGCGGUCCCGCCACUGUGUUUCGGGUUAUAAUUCCGAUGAGCCAGAUUACCUCCAUAGAUUGUAUUUUUGUU